RNAcentral lists this ribosomal RNA (159 nucleotides) under Fraxinus albicans. Its description in RNAcentral is "5.8S ribosomal RNA". It matches the Rfam family "5.8S ribosomal RNA". Rfam says of the family: 5.8S ribosomal RNA (5.8S rRNA) is a component of the large subunit of the eukaryotic ribosome. It is transcribed by RNA polymerase I as part of the 45S precursor that also contains 18S and 28S rRNA. Functionally, it is thought that 5.8S rRNA may be involved in ribosome translocation. The record is from RNAcentral. RNAcentral also lists the same sequence under 4 other names. Lineage: Eukaryota; Viridiplantae; Streptophyta; Magnoliopsida; Lamiales; Oleaceae.
CGACUCUCGGCAACGGAUAUCUUGGCUCUCGCAUCGAUGAAGAACGCAGCAAAAUGCGAUACUUGGUGUGAAUUGCAGAAUCCCGUGAACCAUCGAGUUUUUGAACGCAAGUUGCGCCCGAAGCCAUUAUGCUGAGGGCACGUCUGCCUGGGCGUCACG